This 1502-nucleotide ribosomal RNA is filed under the name Spartiella sp. KS-34-W30. Its description in RNAcentral is "eukaryotic LSU rRNA". It matches the Rfam family "Eukaryotic large subunit ribosomal RNA", at positions 114 to 1437 of the family's 3401-position model. The record is from RNAcentral. Lineage: Eukaryota; Fungi; Kickxellomycota; Harpellomycetes; Harpellales; Legeriomycetaceae.
CUUAAAAUCUGCAGGUAUUAAAUUACUUGUCGAGUUGUAGCUUAUGGAGGCAGUCUCAUCUCUGCGGCUUGGUAAAAGUUCCUUUGAAUAGGACAUCAAAGAGGGUGAAAAUCCCGUAUUUGACCAUGCUGUGCAUACUAAAAGCAGGGAUAUAUGAGCUGUUUUCUUCGAGUCGGGUUGUUUGGGAUUGCAGCCCUAAUUUGGAGGUAAAUUUCUUCUAAAGCUAAAUAUUUGCAAGAGACCGAUAGCAAACAAGUACCGUGAGGGAAAGAUGAAAAGCACUUUGAAAAGAGAGUGAAAAGUACGUGAAAUUGUUGAAAGGGAACCAGUUGGUAGCCAAGCUUCGAUAAAGGUGGGGCAACCUGUCUUUACGAGGUCAACAUCGGUUAUUGUCGCCUGAGAGGAAUUUUGUAGUUCGGCGGAGUAAGGUAGAAUGGGUGGUUGCUUUCGGGCAAUUAAGCCACUCAUUUGUUAUAGACUCUAUGGGAUUGCUUUAAGCCUUGAGGUGACGGUGACCGAGGUACGCAGUGUUUGCCUUUGGCAAUGGAGGAAUAUGGGAAGGUAUGGUUCGUUUGGGUUUUAUAGACAGCUUGCUGACUAUGAUAGCAAAAGGAUAUUCCUCAUCUCAUAUUUUUACCCAGAAACACUUUGGAUGUUGACGAAAAGGCACCAAUUGACCCGUCUUGAAACACGGACCAAGGAGUCCAACAUAUAUGCGAGUAUAUGGGAAUAUAUAAACCCACAUGCGUAAUGAAAGUGAAAUUUUUUGAGUGUGACCUUUUCCCUUCGUGGAAUUGGGCAACACCAACCGGCCUUAGAUAGCGCUGCUUGACAAGGCUGAGUAUGAGCAUAUAUGCUGGGACCCGAAAGAUGGUGAACUAUGCCUGAAUAGAGUGAAGUCAGAGGAAACUCUGAUGGAGGCUCGUAGAGAUUCUGACGUGCAAAUCGAUCUCCAAAUUUGGGUAUAGGGGCGAAAGACUAAUCGAACCAUCUAGUAGCUGGUUCCUGCCGAAGUUUCCCUCAGGAUAGCAGAGACUGGAUAAGCAGUUUUACGAGGUAAAGCGAAUGAUUAGAGGCCUUGGGGAUGUAACAUCCUUAACCUAUUCUCAAACUUUAAAUGCGUAAGAAGCCUUCUUUUUCUUAAUUGAAAAGGGGCCUUUAUACGAAUGCAUCAGUCUCUAGUGGGCCAUUUUUGGUAAGCAGAACUGGCGAUGCGGGAUGAACCGAACGUAGAGUUAAGGUGCCCAAAUGCACGCUCAUAUAGACACCAUAAAAGGUGUUAGUUCAUCUAGACAGCAGGGCGGUGGCCAUGGAAGUCGGAAUCCGCUAAGGAGUGUGUAACAACUCACCUGCCGAAUGAACUAGCCCUGAAAAUGGAUGGCGCUUAAGCGUGCUACCGAUACUCUACCGCUGAAGUUAUUAAUAAAUAACACUUUGGCGAGUAGGCAGGCGUGGGGGUUUUGAGUAGAGAAGCUGUGGGAGUGAUCUCCAGUGGAACAACC